CAGGACGAACGCUGGCGGCGUGCCUAAUACAUGCAAGUCGAACGGCUUUUCUAUGGAAGCUUGCUUCCACUGAGAAGAUAGUGGCGAACGGGUGAGUAACACGUGGGUAACCUGCCCAUAAGAGGGGGAUAACGAUCCGGAAACGGGUGCUAAUACCGCAUAGUUUUCUUGAUCGCAUGAUCGGGAAAGGAAAGACGGCCUUUGUGCUGUCGCUUAUGGAUGGACCCGCGGCGUAUUAGUUAGUUGGUGAGGUAACGGCUCACCAAGACGAUGAUACGUAGCCGACCUGAGAGGGUGAUCGGCCACAUUGGGACUGAGACACGGCCCAAACUCCUACGGGAGGCAGCAGUAGGGAAUCUUCCGCAAUGGACGAAAGUCCGACGGAGCAACGCCGCGUGAGUGAAGAAAAGGUUUUCGGAUCGUAAAACUCUGUUGUCAGAGAAGAACAAGUUGGAGAGUAACUGCUCCAGCCUUGACGGUAUCUGACCAGAAAGCCACGGCUAACUACGUGCCAGCAGCCGC
This 522-nucleotide ribosomal RNA is filed under the name uncultured bacterium. RNAcentral's name for it is "bacterial SSU rRNA". It matches the Rfam family "Bacterial small subunit ribosomal RNA", at positions 25 to 518 of the family's 1533-position model. The record is from RNAcentral.